GUGUCAGCAGCCGCGGUAAUACGUAGGGGGCGAGCGUUGUCCGGAAUUAUUGGGCGUAAAGAGCGUGUAGGCGGAUAUUUAAGUCAGAUGUGAAAACUGGCGGCUCAACCGUGAGACUGCAUCUGAUACUGGAUAUCUUGAGGGUAAGAGAGGAAAGUGGAAUUCCUAGUGUAGCGGUGAAAUGCGUAGAUAUUAGGAGGAACACCAGUGGCGAAGGCGACUUUCUGGCUUACAACUGACGCUGAGACGCGAAAGCGUGGGGAGCAAACAGGAUUAGAUACCCUGGUAGUCCACGCCGUAAACGAUGGGUACUAGGUGUAGGAGGUAUCGACCCCUUCUGUGCCGCAGUUAACACAUUAAGUACCCCGCCUGGGGAGUACGGCCGCAAGGUUGAA
RNAcentral lists this ribosomal RNA (395 nucleotides) under uncultured bacterium. RNAcentral's name for it is "bacterial SSU rRNA". It matches the Rfam family "Bacterial small subunit ribosomal RNA", at positions 505 to 898 of the family's 1533-position model. The record is from RNAcentral.